This 484-nucleotide ribosomal RNA is filed under the name uncultured bacterium. RNAcentral describes it as "partial 16S ribosomal RNA". It matches the Rfam family "Bacterial small subunit ribosomal RNA", at positions 30 to 507 of the family's 1533-position model. The record is from RNAcentral.
AUUGAACGCUGGCGGCAGGCCUAACACAUGCAAGUCGAGCGGAUGAAGGGAGCUUGCUCCUGGAUUCAGCGGCGGACGGGUGAGUAAUGCCUAGGAAUCUGCCUGGUAGUGGGGGAUAACGUCCGGAAACGGGCGCUAAUACCGCAUACGUCCUGAGGGAGAAAGUGGGGGAUCUUCGGACCUCACGCUAUCAGAUGAGCCUAGGUCGGAUUAGCUAGUUGGUGGGGUAAAGGCCUACCAAGGCGACGAUCCGUAACCGGUCUGAGGGGAUGAUCAGUCACACUGGAACUGAGACACGGUCCAGACUCCUACGGGAGGCAGCAGUGGGGAAUAUUGGACAAUGGGCGAAAGCCUGAUCCAGCCAUGCCGCGUGUGUGAAGAAGGUCUUCGGAUUGUAAAGCACUUUAAGUUGGGAGGAAGGGCAGUAAGUUAAUACCUUGCUGUUUUGACGUUACCAACAGAAUAAGCACCGGCUAACUUCGUG